UCUUAUCGUCUCCUGUGUAAUGAGUGGGAGUAUCCAUCGACUUCUGGGGCUUUUGCUUUGAAAGGAGCCGUGUGCGCCUUACUUCAGCUAGUGUAGAGAAUUAUGUGCACCUAUUGAUUUUCCUUGAUUUCCCGGCGAGUUUAAAGCAAUUUUGCAUUCAUGGCCAUUCCCAUUGUGGAAUUCCGGUGGCUCGGCAGUAAAGCUAAUAAUAUUUCUGGAUUUAUUGACUUAUUUCCACGGAACUAUUGUAAUCCGGUCCUUAAUGCUGGCGCCAAGCGCAUACUCAGUGUUUCCAACUUGUCCGGACUUGGUCAGCGACGUUGUUAUUUAUGGACAGGCUCCGUUCUGCCUUCCGGGUUGUUUCAGUCGAGUUGAGUGACGGUUGAAUUGUCCAAUCCGCAGAGGGAUUGCGUGCGGCAUCCCAGCCUAUCAGCUGUAAGUAGGGGCGGAACCUGUCCUAUCCUAGUGGUUAGCGCUUACGUUUAUGGAGCUCAGGCCCGUAGAGAGCUCGGUUCGAGUGUAUGCUACGUGCUUCUUGUUCGAAGUAGAGGAAAAGCGGGUGAUGGGUGUGUUAAUAGCUAAAAUCUCCAUGAAUAAAUGGCAUAUUUUAUGCGCUAAUCACGUUAGCGCUAGCAGCUAAUGCUAAUCGCUAGCUUGGUCUGUGCCAUUACUAAGCCUUGGAUUGGCACCAAUAAGUGAUGUUGAGAUUGAAAAAGAAUUGUUGUUGAAUCAAAAUGAAUGAACUACAACUUUUUGUAAGCCGUAUGAAAUAUUGGGCUACUUUUCUUGCCGAUAGCCCGGUGAGUGUAUAGCAUGUUGACUUUUAGCUCGUAGCUUGUAGCUGUGGCUAAUAUGGUCAGAUGAAAUGACCGCAUACUUGAUAUUGUUGUCUAGAUACUGUCCAUAAAAUCCAGUCGGGGGUUUGUGAGAAUGAUGUCUAAUGUUUACAUGCUUUGGUGUCUUUUUGUAUCAUUGCAAAUGAAUAAACGGCAUGUUUUAUGUGCUAAUCGCGUUAGCGCUGGUAGCUAAUGCUAAUCGCUAGCUUGGUCUGUGCCAUUACUAAGCCUAGGAUUGGCACAAAUAAGUGAUGCUGAGAUAGAAAUGGUUUUGAUGUAAAUUCUGUUAUUUCCUGGUUAAAAGCCUAUUCUGUUUAACAGGACAUAACUACUGUAUAAAAAAAAUGUAGAAAUUCAUAGUAAUGUUCUAGUUAAGGAUGCUGAAAAGGUUAAAAGUGGAUGUUAAAUAAUUCAUUUCAGCAACUUGUAUAUGGUUAGGUUAAGAGUCCAUGUUACCUGAGUCAUAUUUCUAUGUUAAAAAGCCCAUUGUACUUUGUUUUAUCUCAUCAAGAAGACGACAAAGACCCUCUCUCUGCGUCGAAAUGACGUAAUCCUCGAGAAACCACCUGUGAUGGACUUCAUUUGAGCUUUCCCAGAAGGUGUGCUUGGUCUGGUAUUAUGGCUACACUCUUCAACAGGUUUGCAGUCCUGUCCGAUUUGGAACCUGCUGAGAAACAAAGAAAUGUCUUACACCACUCUGAAAUCCUGGAAGUUAGAACAGUGACCAGUCCUUACCCCCAGGGCAUGCUCAGACAAGGAAUCUUUUCCACCUCUGCCUGAACCCAUAGCUGGACCCAGUCGGGAAAAAGGUCUCAACAACAAAAAAGUGUUAUCUUCGGGCGUGUUGACGGAGCAGGUUUCCAGCAAUCCCCAGACAUCAGGUGGUAGAGGGGUGAAAAUGAUGAUGGGUGACCUUGCAAAAAGAGAAACAUCCUCUCAAAGUGACUCCCAAUCUGAAUCCCCCCUACUAAAAAUAAUGCUAAUGGGGAAAAGCAUGCUUUAGCCAUGCGCCUGGAGCCAACAAGACACCCUAGAACAAGUAGAAAGAUUUAUGACUGGGAAAUCCAAAUAAGCAAACCCAUCCUGAUAAUAGGAGACUCAAAUUUGUCCCGGAUUCCGCAGUUUAGGGAUAGCAGGGUCCAGGUAGACAGUUUUCCGGGGGUGACCUUUUUAUCACAUCAGGGGGUCCUGGAGAAACUCGGGACCCAUCCUGAGGUGGAGAAGGUCGUCUUAUCAGACGGUUUGAAUAAUUGUUUAGGGAAACAAACACCUAUCACUUUGUGGAAACAAUUACAACAAUUACUAAAAACAUAUACUAAAAUAUUCCGCAAUGCGCAGGUGUAUGUGCCGUUGUUAAAUUAGAUUAUUAGACAGAUUAGGGAGAGAGGUACAGUCACUAAUACAAACCCUAAGUAAAAUAAUAGCGCAAAAAUGUCAAUUCUUACCCGAAUUAAACAGGCUGCGCUUCCACACCGAAGCAUGAGAUCCGAUCCACUGGCGCUCAGAUACAACAGCAUCCAUCCUUGAUUUCUGGCUGGACCAAUUAAACAUGUAAAGGGGGAAGAAUGUCCGCAGACAACUCCCCACCUAUCAAACAUUACAAAUUUAUCAACUUAUAUGCUGAGCCAAAUAGAAAUAGACAUCUUAGAAAAAGGAUUAUCUUUUAUUCCCACACCACAGCGGUUCGACUGAAUGGAACUCUAAAGAGACGCGCACCGAUAUCGCAGGCGAUUAAAAUUUUUGGAUUAUUUUGAAUAUCAAAACAAUCAAAAUCGCUUACCGUUUGUUGCUAAUUCUAAAUGGGAACCGAAGGUAGAGUCUAUCUCGGAGGGUAUCCGAACACUAUCCGUAAAGACACUCACGCACUCACGCUCUCGAGUCCGCAACACAAAACCCAAUAGACCAAACCUCACCUGUGAACAAUUUAAAACAUUAAAAGCAUUAUCACAAAAUACAGACAUAAUAAUAAAACCAGCUGAUAAGGGCUCUCAGGUAGUUAUUAUGCACAGAUCACAUUACUUACAAGAAGCCAGUCAGCAAUUGGGAAAUACGCAAUAUUAUGCGCUGUUACAACACCCGAUUUAUAAAGAAACAGAGUAGAAUCUGUCAAAUAUUAGUCUCUUAAAACCUCUAAAUUCAUUACGCCUAGACAAUAUACCGUACGUAUGUCAGUGGUCCAGAUGCCCCCAGAGCAAGACAGUUUUAUUUGCUUCCCAAAAUUCAUAAACUGCCAUAAAAAUGGGCGGUACCCUUUAGAGUUCCCAGCGGACGUCCAAUCAUUAGUGAUUGCAGCUAAGAGUCCUAUCAGGUGGCUGAGUUCAUUGAUUAUUUUAUUAAUCCAUUAUCUCAAAAACAUGAUAGCUAUAUACAAGAUACAUAUGAUUUUGUGGAUAAAAUAAAAGGUUUGGUGAUACCAGAUAUGGCUUUUUUGUUUACUAUUGACAUCAAUUCAUUGUACACAUAUAUAGAUACACAACUGGGUCUACAGGCUGUUAGGGGGGCGUUUUGUAAAUAUCCAGAUUCGUCUAGACCAGGUAAAGAAAUCUUACAAUUAUUGGAACUGAGCCUGAGGAGAAAUGAUUUUGAAUUUAAUGAAAAAUAUUAUCUUCAAAUUCAUGGUACUGCUAUGGGAAAGAAAUUUGCCCCAGCGUAUGCAAAUUUAUAUAUGAGCACCUGGGAGGAAUCUGCCUUUCUCAAAUGCAGUAAACUACGAGAGGUUUAUUAUAGAUUUCUUGAUGACAUAUUUUGUAUCUGGGCUCAUUCUCAGGAAGAAUUUGGUAAUUUUUUAGAAAUUCUAAAUUCUCAUCAUUCAGCUAUUAGCAUCACAUAAUAUACAGACAGAGAAAAUUGAGUUUUUGAAUACACAAACAUUUAAGUCGUUGGGAAAUGGGACUAAGGGUCUAGCCACUAAGGUGUAUUUUAAGGAUACUGAUAGACAUGCUCUAUUGCAUAAAAGUAGUUUCCAUCCUAGGCACACCUUUAGAGGUAUUGUGAAAUCACAACUAAUCCGAUUUCACAGGAUAUGCAGCUUCCCGGAGGACGUGGAGGAGGCCACCCAGACUCUGUUCUGUUCAGAACCAGGGGGUAUGCUGGGCAAUUCUUGAGGCAAAUUAGAAUGGAAGUGAAACAAAAUUUUGAUGCAAAUCAAUAUUACCUCAAGUCGGGUAAUCAACAACCAAUGGUUCCAUUUGUACUUACGUUUUCUCAUCAUUUUACACACUUUCAAUAGGAACUUCAAAAAAUGCUUCCAGGAAGCCCAAGAAUCAACAGCUGAUUUGGCCAAGUUUAAACCAAUUACUGCAUACAGGAAAAAUAAGAAUUUAAAGGAUAUUUUAGUACACACCAGAAUAAAUAAGAAGGAUAAGCAUCAAAAAGAAUCUAAACAUAUUUCAUUAACUAAAUAUUUAAAGAAUAACUAUACAGGAUUGGGCAUUCCAAUUGAACAGAUGUUACAUCUGUACACCUAUAAUGUAGUUUAUUUUAUUAGGUGUAGGGAAUGCCAAUUACUAUAUAUAGGUGAAAUUAAAAAUAGAUUGAAGGAUAAACUCAAACAACAUCUAUAUCAAAUCAGACAGGGGAGGAAAAAUAACUUAUUGUACAAUCAUUUCUGUAUGCAUGUGUCCGAGAAGCUGCAGACCCAGGGGGUGGAGAGCAAAUUGGGUUGGACAGAUGCGUAGAGUGGAAAAGGGGUUGAUCGGUAUUUUAAAUACACGGGAACCCUUUGGUCUAAAUGAAAAAUAGGAGAAUUUGAAAGUAAAACGUAACUUUUUGAAGAUUACAAGGACAUAGAAGGGAUAGAAGGAUAGAUUUUUUGACAAUACUUACCUUUAGUAAGGAACUGUCCUUCUACCAAAGUGAGUCCGGUCCAUGUGGAGACUCCCCCAGAAGAUUCUCUGCCCCCUGCUGGUGAAGCAUACACAUGGAUGAGCAAUUGAGUUCUCUUAGACA
This is a long non-coding RNA of Hemibagrus wyckioides, 4784 nucleotides long. RefSeq lists it as uncharacterized. The record is from RefSeq and is a predicted model, not a curated record. The transcript is spliced from 5 exons. Lineage: Eukaryota; Metazoa; Chordata; Actinopteri; Siluriformes; Bagridae.